AAUCAACGCUGGCGGCGUGCCUCAGACAUGCAAGUCGAACGAUUAAAGCUCUCUUCGGAGAGUGUAUAGAGUGGCGCACGGGGUGAGUAACACGUAAGUAAUCUACCUUUGAGUGGGGAAUAACCCGGGGAAACCCGAGCUAAUACCGCAUAAUGCAGCGGCACCGCAAGGUGACAGUUGUUAAAGGAGCAAUCCGCUUAAAGAGGAGCUUGCGGCAGAUUAGCUAGNGGUAAGGUAAUGGCUUACCAAGGCUACGAUCUGUAUCCGGUCUAAGAGGACGGUCGGACACACUGACACUGAAUAACGGGUCAGACUCCUACAGGAGGCAGCAGUCGGGAAUUUUGGGCAAUGGGCGAAAGCCUGACCCAGCAACGCCGCGUGAAGGAUGAAGUAAUUUCGGUAUGUAAAACUUCGAAAGAAUAGGAAGAAUAAAUGACGGUACUAUUUAUAAGGUCCGCUAACUACGUGCCAGCAGCCGCCGUAAU
This 485-nucleotide ribosomal RNA is filed under the name uncultured bacterium. RNAcentral describes it as "bacterial SSU rRNA". It matches the Rfam family "Bacterial small subunit ribosomal RNA", at positions 32 to 524 of the family's 1533-position model. The record is from RNAcentral.